UACGUAGGUGGCAAGCGUUAUCCGGAUUUAUUGGGCGUAAAGGGAACGCAGUCGGUCUUUUAAGUCUGAUGUGAAAGCCUUCGGCUUAACCGGAGUAGUGCAUUGGAAACUGGGAGACUUGAGUGCAGAAGAGGAGAGUGGAACUCCAUGUGUAGCGGUGAAAUGCGUAGAUAUAUGGAAGAACACCAGUGGCGAAAGCGGCUCUCUGGUCUGUAACUGACGCUGAGGUUCGAAAGCGUGGGUAGCAAACAGG
Molecule: ribosomal RNA, 253 nt
Filed under: uncultured bacterium
Lineage: Bacteria
Description: partial 16S ribosomal RNA
Rfam family: Bacterial small subunit ribosomal RNA
Source: RNAcentral